UGAUGUCAGCACUAUGUCAAUGUCUUUAACAGAGUGAAGACACUUUCUUCCUUUCCUUUUUCUCUGGUGUGUCCUAGAUAGCAUGUGCUCUGUGUGAGCCUCAGUCGCUCAGUGGUCUCUGACUCUUUGUGACCCCGUGAACUGCAGCCCGCCAGGCUCCUCCAUCGAUG
Molecule: small nuclear RNA, 170 nt
Filed under: Mus musculus (house mouse)
Lineage: Eukaryota; Metazoa; Chordata; Mammalia; Rodentia; Muridae
Source: RNAcentral